Molecule: long non-coding RNA, 212 nt
Filed under: Numida meleagris (helmeted guineafowl)
Lineage: Eukaryota; Metazoa; Chordata; Aves; Galliformes; Numididae
Description: lncRNA (ENSNMEG00000002362.1)
Source: RNAcentral
CAGGUGAUGUCCCUUGUCACCCAGAUGUCCCCAUCACCCAGGUGUCCUUUGCCACCCGGGUGUCCCCAUCACUCAGGUGUCCUUUGUCACCCAAGUGUCCUUUGUCACCAGGAUCUCCACGUCACCCAAGUGUCCUUUGUCACCCAGGUGUCCCCUGUCACCCAGGUGACGUCCUCGGUCACCCAGAUGCCCUUUGCCACUUGGGUGUCCUU